This 447-nucleotide ribosomal RNA is filed under the name Anaplasma platys. Its description in RNAcentral is "bacterial SSU rRNA". It matches the Rfam family "Bacterial small subunit ribosomal RNA", at positions 40 to 515 of the family's 1533-position model. Lineage: Bacteria; Pseudomonadati; Pseudomonadota; Alphaproteobacteria; Rickettsiales; Anaplasmataceae. The record is from RNAcentral.
CGGCAAGCUUAACACAUGCAAGUCGAACGGAUUUUUGUCGUAGCUUGCUAUGAUAAAAAUUAGUGGCAGACGGGUGAGUAAUGCAUAGGAAUCUACCUAGUAGUAUGGGAUAGCCACUAGAAAUGGUGGGUAAUACUGUAUAAUCCCUGCGGGGGAAAGAUUUAUCGCUAUUAGAUGAGCCUAUGUUAGAUUAGCUAGUUGGUAGGGUAAAGGCCUACCAAGGCAGUGAUCUAUAGCUGGUCUGAGAGGAUGAUCAGCCACACUGGAACUGAGAUACGGUCCAGACUCCUACGGGAGGCAGCAGUGGGGAAUAUUGGACAAUGGGCGCAAGCCUGAUCCAGCUAUGCCGCGUGAGUGAGGAAGGCCUUAGGGUUGUAAAACUCUUUCAGUGGGGAAGAUAAUGACGGUACCCACAGAAGAAGUCCCGGCAAACUCCGUGCCAGCAGC